This is a long non-coding RNA of Carassius carassius (crucian carp), 409 nucleotides long. RefSeq lists it as uncharacterized. The transcript is spliced from 3 exons. Lineage: Eukaryota; Metazoa; Chordata; Actinopteri; Cypriniformes; Cyprinidae. The record is from RefSeq and is a predicted model, not a curated record.
CUAUCAACCACUAGCGCAGCAGAAACAUCUACAAUAACAGAGACCUCCACAAUCACAACGACUGCAGCAGAAACAUCUACAACAACAGAGUUUUUAAAUGAAUUGAAAAUAGAGCUGGUGCUUUACUCGAACGAUUUAUUUACUGAUGAACUCUCAUAUUCACAAUCUUCUGCUUUCAAAAACAGGGCUCAUUUGUUUGAAGAUUUACUGGCAAAGCUUUUCCUGAAGUUUCCUUCCUUCCUAAGAGUCACUGUGCUAAACUUCAGGAAGGGCUCCAUCAUUACCACAACAGAUAUCAUUUUCAACUCUACACAUGAUGAUGUUCCAUCAGAGGAACAAGUUGCAAUCACAUUACUGAAUGAAAAAGCAACUCUCAAUGCCCUGAACAUAACUUAUUUUACAGUUAAUG